RNAcentral lists this ribosomal RNA (109 nucleotides) under bacterium. The record is from RNAcentral.
GGUGGCAAUUAUACCGAGGUUGUCCCACCCGAUCCCAUUCCGAACUCGGAAGUGAAAUACCUCAAGGCCGAUGAUAGUCCUUUUGGGCGAAAGUAGGUAGUUGCCACCA